AUGGCGUCCAUCCAUCCACAAAGUAGCAGCAUGGCGGGGCCGGGGCGGCUCGCUGCCGUGCCGGAGGAGAGUACGAAUGGCUCAGCCUCCCCGCCGCUCGGCCUCUACGGCGACUGGAUUCGGACGGUCGCCGUGUCCGGAACACAGAGAAGAUCGACUAUCCUCGGUCAAAGCGGAUCCAGCUACUCCAGUGCUUCGACUUCUUAUCUAUCCAACAACUCCAGCUACUCCUCCGGUUUGGCGUCCGCCGCUGGACGGCUGGAGUACUUCGGCGGCCAACAAGAGCUCAAGAGGAUAGCUCGUGGAAUGGUCGGCGACGGGUACACUCAGCGCAUGGUCCAAGCAUUCCACGACGCUUCAUCCGCACCAGCAUUCAAACACGGUGGUGGCCCAGCCCCGGGCCAUGCCCUGGAGAAUUGGUUCUUGGAGCUUGAUGUCGGCUGGGUUCUCCAAAUCCACGACAAGCAUGGCUUACGGCGACUGCUCCAAGACAAGCCGGAGUGCACACCACAAGACUUGAUCGAGAGGUGGAUCCGAGCUCUUACCGUGAUGGUCGCCAGUAUCACUGAAUUGGUAGUCGUCGCCUUCCACGGGACGACAGCGGUCGCCCGGUUUGGCAAAGCAAGCAUCACUGAGAUGUUGGCAUUCGUGGACAACAUCAUCCCUGUUCUCGAAGCCGAGAAGCUGCAGGUCGUGCUUGACAUGUUUAUCUGUGUCAACGAGAUAGGUGCCACGUUAGAGAGAGAAGGAAACAAACUAUGGGAGAUCAUAUUAAACACGAUGAAGGAUGUGAGGACACUCGCGGAGGAAGAUGACUCAUGGGCUAUCGAGAUCCCGCGAGGAGGAGGCGAGGUUCACAGGAACACUCGGUUCAUCAUGGAUUGCGUGGUAUCCAUGAUGAAUGCACGGACUUCAAUGAAACACUCUGCACCGACCGACAACACUGAAAACCUUGGUGGCCUGAUCGAUGGCACAAUUGAUUAUCUUAAGGGUCUGCUCUUCACAAAAUCAGAGUCAUGCUCGGAUCAAAGUCUCCGGUAUCUAUUCCUGCUCAACAAUUCCUAUUUUGAUCUAGCACAAGAGUUGAGCGAUGUCCCCCUCCCCGAGCGCCCUUCCCCAACGCGACCACCGCAGCCCCAAGCACGCCGGUGGACCUGUCCGGCCACCGUCGUCCAACGCAAGGGGACAUCAGCCCACACUGCCUCUCUUUCAGCCCCAGCUCCACCCCUUCACCCGCUGGAUCUGACGCAAACCCCAAAAGAGCCACCUAUAGGGAGGCACUUCUACCCUCGGCCAUUAAUGGGGAACCCAGGUCUGCUACCGCCAGCCCGGUCGCCUUGA
Molecule: ribosomal RNA, 1341 nt
Filed under: Triticum aestivum (bread wheat)
Lineage: Eukaryota; Viridiplantae; Streptophyta; Magnoliopsida; Poales; Poaceae
Description: partial small subunit ribosomal RNA
Source: RNAcentral